Molecule: long non-coding RNA, 451 nt
Organism: Arabidopsis thaliana (thale cress)
Lineage: Eukaryota; Viridiplantae; Streptophyta; Magnoliopsida; Brassicales; Brassicaceae
Product: other RNA
Exons: 1
Source: RefSeq
AAAAUGGUCAUUAAAUGAACGUAGACGUUAAGAGUUAUUUUUGUUUGUUUGUUUGCUAAAUUAUAAUCGUCUUUGUUUGAACGUUCUUCGACGCCGGUGAAAGACGACAACUUCUGUCUUGUAAUUAUCUAAAACGUCGUCGUGCUCAAUCAACCACCACAUGUCACCCGUUUACGCUGACCUUAUUGCUUGCUCUACCGUUCUUGUUUCCUUUUAUUGUCAAAAUUGAAAAUGUGGAUUUUGAUGUUUUUUGUAUUUUUAUGUCUGGAAAAAAAGUGACAUGUUCGAGACAAUUUUUUCGAGGCAGUAUUAAAUUUAGUUUAAAUCAAGUAACGUAUUAAUGUUUAGUAAGUCUAAGAUAGAGUUGAAAAUCAUAUAUUUUUAAUCCAACGCCUCUGUCUCGUGGGUCUCAAUGGCAUGUGCCUCUGUGCGUGCUUCACCACUCAUGGUU